Molecule: ribosomal RNA, 253 nt
Filed under: uncultured bacterium
Lineage: Bacteria
Description: partial 16S ribosomal RNA
Rfam family: Bacterial small subunit ribosomal RNA
Source: RNAcentral
UACGUAGGGUGCAAGCGUUGUCCGGAAUUAUUGGGCGUAAAGAGCUCGUAGGUGGUUUGUCGCGUUGUUCGUGAAAACUCACAACUCAAUUGUGGGCGUGCGGGCGAUACGGGCAGACUUGAGUACUGCAGGGGAGACUGGAAUUCCUGGUGUAGCGGUGGAAUGCGCAGAUAUCAGGAGGAACACCGGUGGCGAAGGCGGGUCUCUGGGCAGUAACUGACGCUGAGGAGCGAAAGCGUGGGGAGCGAACAGG